RNAcentral lists this small RNA (2122 nucleotides) under Ixodes scapularis (black-legged tick). RNAcentral describes it as "uncharacterized LOC8026249". The record is from RNAcentral. Lineage: Eukaryota; Metazoa; Arthropoda; Arachnida; Ixodida; Ixodidae.
UCUACAGGGUUGGCCGCUGCGGCGUUGGCUGGGUUGGCGGUGCUCUUUUCAUCUCGUGAAUGUUGUAGCGAUGAGCUUGAGCUUGGGGAGCCGACAAUUUUAGCUGGAGGUCGGGAUUCGGUAUCCACAUCUCUCUAACUAGGUCUGCGGAGCCACUUUAGCGCGGCGCGUCAAGUUUGUUUUAGGACAUUAUAUUUGACGUAUAUUGUAAUGUGUGUAUCUCCACGCGGGACAGCCGUGCUGCCGAGACCAGAGGCGCUGCCGAGACUGAUUCGUGUACAAUGAUAAAAGCUAAGUGUACCUGGAAAGUUCAAGGCGAUCGCCCAGUCUCCGAUGCUAUAGUGUACUUUGAAGGCAAUGAAAACAUCGACCUUGAAGAUGCCAUUUCAGCCGAGAACUGUGUUCAGCUGGAGGCUCCCUUGGAAGAUGAUGUUACUGGGAACUACAUUGUCCCGUCCUGCCAGAUCUUCUUGUUCUGCAAUGAUUCGCACCAAAUGGGCAGUGUGUCCAUCCUCUCCGAAGCGAGGGUUAUAGAGGUGUACGGCUACCACGGGGAGUACCUGAGCACCUUGAAGAAUGAGUUGAUGGAAGAGGUAGAUGGCAUGUCAGUCUUUCGAGGAGACCUGACCCUCGUACGGACCCCUGAAAGAAUGCUGCCUCAAGUUCAUCCCCCUCAAGUCGAAAGAAUCAAUGUGGCUAUAUGGAAUCAAGGUGAUGGUUCAACAGACAACGAGGCCAGAACUCCCGAGUAUGUUCCCCACUAGCAUGCCCCUAAAAGAAGUAGAAGAACGACUGCAGGCAUCAGGAACACAGAUUAGUGAUAAGGCUGAGGCACUUAAAAAGAUGAUGGAGCUCUUUCAAGGAGGUGCUAGCCGUUUUCCUGGAGCAAUGUUUCAGCCCAGUUCCUCUGGAUUGGCCUCUUUACCGCAGACAGGACUUGCCUCUUUGUCACACAGUCUUCCACAGCAAGAUCAGCAGCCAUCCAAUGCUAUGUCCCAACUCUUCAGCCUUCUUCAGGGGUCGGUCCAUCCACCUGUUCAACAAGUGCCACCCAAGCUCGUGCCAAAACCGGUUGCAGCCCUCGAGUUGGGUAGGGAGGCCUCGUUGCAAUAUCCCGCAAGCACAGAUAACAACACCCAGGAGGCUUUGCUCACUGGACUAGUAAAGUUGCUACUGGACAAGACAACCAGGCCGCCCCAGUCUGAGGUGCAAGCUCAGCCGGCUGUGCCACCAAAAAAGCAGAACCACUACUAGCCACUCAAGGAAAAAAUCUUGUUUUGGAGCUUUUAGAGAAGUCGGGCAUGAUGAACAAAGAAAUGGCGACACUUCUGUUGACGGAAAUUGUGGAGAAGAGUGGUGUCAAGUUUCAUUUAAAUCACUCAUUAGGUGAUGCAGAGCAAAGGUCAAACUUGCCUGCUCAAACUGCCCCCCCAAAGGAAGCUGGAGCAGCUGUGAUAGAACAGGUAAACCAGUCAACAGAAAAAGAGGUUUCGGAGCUCAGCUCACAGGAGCGGCCAUUGAUUGAGCCCAAGGUCGAGCCUUCAAAGGAAGCAGCCUCACAGACAGACAUGCCUGAUGAAACAGUGCCCCAAGUGCCCAGAACGGAUCCAGAAGAGGUUGUUGGUAAAAUGUUCCAAGGUCUUCAGGAUCAGCUUCUCGAGUUACUUGGACAGCGCUUUGAAGAGCUGAAGCUGGAGGUGGUUCAAAAACUGGACCUGAAAAUUCAGGAAAUGGAGGAGCGCAUCAAUGGACGGUUUGAUGCCAUCAUCGAUGCUCUGCAAGGCCAAGAAGAGGAUGAGGAAAUAUUUGAGCAGCCCGAUGAAGGAUCUGUCUAGGGCCCAGUUGGGGCUAGCUCUUCCCGCAUCUGUCCAAUUUAUUGCACUGGCAAGAUCUGAGGGGUACAAAGUUAUUGCAGUUGGACUAAUUUUUGACUGUUGCAGUUGUUUCAUGUGCAGAUCUUUAAACCAGGUGUAAAUGAGUAAUAAAUAUGUCAAAGUGCCUUGCCACGCUCGACGAUACCAAAUUCAGUUGCUGCUGUAAAGCCUUUCACUCAAUGGAAAGAAAUGCCAAUGAUCACCUUUGUCAAUUUGACACAUUAAAGCUAUGUUACCAUCAUUGUAAA